AGGACGCUUCCUUCGGGAAGCGAGCGUACACAGGUGCUGCAUGGCUGUCGACAGCUCGUGUCGUGAGAUGUUGGGUUAAGUCCGUAACGAGCGCAACCCUUGUCCUUAGUUACCAGCACGUUAUGGUGGGCACUCUAAGGAGACUGCCGGUGACAAACCGGAGGAAGGUGGGGAUGACGUCAAGUCAUCAUGGCCCUUACGGCCUGGGCUACACACGUGCUACAAUGGUCGGUACAAAGGGUUGCCAAGCCGCGAGGUGGGGCUAAUCCCAUAAAACCGAUCGUAGUCCGGAUCGCAGUCUGCAACUCGACUGCGUGAAGUCGGAAUCGCUAGUAAUCGUGAAUCAGAAUGUCACGGUGAAUACGUUCCCGGGCCUU
Molecule: ribosomal RNA, 377 nt
Filed under: uncultured Pseudomonas sp.
Lineage: Bacteria; Pseudomonadati; Pseudomonadota; Gammaproteobacteria; Pseudomonadales; Pseudomonadaceae
Description: bacterial SSU rRNA
Rfam family: Bacterial small subunit ribosomal RNA
Source: RNAcentral